Molecule: unclassified non-coding RNA, 908 nt
Filed under: Hevea brasiliensis (rubber tree)
Lineage: Eukaryota; Viridiplantae; Streptophyta; Magnoliopsida; Malpighiales; Euphorbiaceae
Source: RNAcentral
AUUAUAAAACCAUGGGAAACCAUCAAACAAACAAGGUGUAGUUGAAGUUGAAGGCCAGUCAUUAUCAUUCAUUCCUCUUAAUGGACUGAGAAAGAUGGUUAAACAUGCUGGCAAUUCAUAUAAAUGGUGCCUAACUGGACCGACAAGCCAAUCAAUUUAUCAAACCUAUUACAGGCAAAAUUAACAAUUGAAGUUUGAUUUAUAUCCCAAGAAAAUGUUUUGUUGAACUAAGCCACAUAUUCAUAUUAGCUAUUCUUACCUAUAACCUAUGUUACCAUGUUGUGGAGGGGCAUGAGGAGGAUAUCCAGAUGGAUUAAGGCCAUCACGAAGUGCCCUAACUAGUUCUUCAUCAUUAUCAGUUCGGUAUCUGUACCCUAGAAAAGGGCCAAUUUUCAAUACAAGGCCAAACGCAAACAUAGUAUGAACUUAAAAUAUAUGGAGCUUGAUAGGCAUAAAAACCUAAAAACCUAGCCUCCUCCAAUCUUCAACUCGAGAAAGUGCAACAGCAAGAUUUGCUUCUUCCUUCUUAUCAACUCUAGAGCGCUUAUCCAUGGUUCUAGUUGUUAUGUCUUUCUUUCCCAAACCCUGGGGAUGGCUGCUACCACUAGUUCCCUGACUAAGAGAUCUCGCUGGUGCGCCCUUGACCAUGUUUUCCUGCUUACCUCUAGUUGGCGAGCCUCGGGCCACAUUUUCUCGUCCACCUCCCUUAAAAGUUAGGAGUGACCGCAGCCACCUGUUCUUAACCAUGUUUCCUUCUGCAAGACAGCCACUACCGCCUCUACAGCACCUACUAGUUAAAAAUCUUACUCAAUACAGGUGGCUUAGGAGGAGAACAUAAUAUACAACAAUCACUAUUACGUUAUGUAUUCAUGCUACACAGAAGAAUUUCAUCAUACAGUGCGACACAG